GUGUGUCAAAAUGGGUUAGGUUUAUGCUGUCCCUAUUUACUAAUGCUGGAUGAAUAUGGAUCACAGCAGGUACCAGGAUGCUGGAAAAGAAAGCAGGUUAAAUCAGUUUGAUGUCCCUGAGAUUAAAAGUAUCUGCUCUGUUUCUUAUUGACUGAGUCCUCUGGUGCUGAUGAAUUCAUAUGGGGGACUUCUGUUUUUUCUAGUGUUUAUCUGGAGGACAAAUCUUUCCUUUUUGUUAAAUCGAUGUUAUCUUCCUCUUUUAUUCUUUUUUUAAUCUGAAAACCAGAAUUCACUGGAAAGCUCUCUCACUCUUUUCUUCUCUCCCUUUCCCUCCUUCUCUUCCUCUCUCUCUCCUCUUUCUCAUUUUGACUUUUGGGAGGCUUUUUAACAUCAUAGAAAUACCAAGUUUGGUCUUUGUCACUUUAGUUUUUUCCUGGAGGAGCUCUGGGAAGUCUUGUGUUCUGGGUGUUCUGGCACUGCUGUAGAAAGAAUAAGGAUCUUGAACAAAGAAUUUCUUUGCCCAAAAUUGAAAUUUGUUGCUGAAGUUGCUAACAAAAGCAGAAGCAGAUGAACAAAAUUAUUCUAGACACUGUACAAUGUUUGUACACUAAUAGAUUGAAGAGAUAGAAACUGUUUAGGAAAAAAAAUGGUAAUUUUUGUUCAUAAGAACAAUGAGACAUUAAAGCAAUAAAAAUUAGAUACAAAUAAUAGUAGCACAAUUACUAGGUCGCUGUGCGAAUCAGUAUCGCACCUCUAUAAGGAAUACUUUGCUCUGUUGGCUAAGGUACCAUCACAAAGGUGAAAUGGGUUUUGAAAAUUAUCCUAAGUUUCUCAGCUCUUGCCACACUGAGAACAGCAAGAAUUCAUGAGUGGAUAGACCUGUUGGUAAGAAAAUCCAUGUCUGUUUACUGAGCCUAGCUAUUUCAAGAGAUUUACAGGAUGAACUUUGUCAUCUUUUGUGAAAGUCCAAAUAAAUCAUGUCUUCCAAUCUUCUUGUAUUCACUCCCUUGUUAUCACACCCAAUAAUUAAUGUGAACAAAGAAUGUGAAUAUCUUACAGAGGCACAGAUUUCUUUUACAGAAGCCAUGGUGAUCUGUCUCCAUCAUAUUAUUUUCAGCUAGGUCUUUUUAUUACUCUGUUUUUAAUUAGCAUUUUGACCAAUUUUCUUGGUGCUAAAGUAAUAAUUCUCAGCCCUGGAUUUCCCAGAAUAACCUUUACAGUAAAAUACUAUUUGCAACAUAGCUGUUUUCUGAGAGAGCAACUAUUUGAAGCAACUUUGAAAAUGUCUUUGAGGCCCAGAAGUCCUCCUGAAGCAAUGCCAAAAUACUCCCUAAAAUCAAGGCCAAACUGCUGGUGCAGCUUUUUCAGACAGAUCGUAACCACAGGAAUUUACCCCUUGUAUUAUUUUGUUUCUGACCUGCCAUCAUGCCGGCUUCCCCAGCCAGCUGGUUCAAAUGGCAGCCCCAUGGUCCCCUGGAUGUGCCCAUGGGCUGCGGGCCUGUCAGACCAGUGACCAUGGCUCCAGUCCCUGCACAACAUUUGGGUCUACACAGUGGAGGAAGUGCCCUCCACAGUGCAGCCUACAGGCUUGAACUUUUGGUCGUCCAGACUGGAUGAUGAUCAUCACAGUCACCUUCAUACUCACACAAGAAAUUCACUUAGUCAAAUGGAAAUGAAGGGGGUGUAGCUGAGACAGAUUUUUUCCUGAUAAGCUUAUCUGGAAUCUCUCUUGCUGGUCCAGAGGGUACACAUUCCUGAUUUGUAAAGUGUGCUCUUUUUGUAUAUUGGUUUUGAGUUUUAUCUCUAAAUUUGACAUGAAGUUUGCAUUUUAUAUACAGCUCCUAUAUACAGGAUGAAACAGGAAAUGCACUAAUGCUUGAAACUAUUUAUUGUUAUAUCUAGAUCUUAUUUGAUAGAAACUUUUUAUAUUAUUCUGACAAAAUCUAAAACUUCCACAUCACAUGGAAUGACUUGAGCAAUAGAAAAGGAAUGUUUAAUUGUAAAACUAAAUAAAAACAUAAAGUUUUAAAGCACAGAAUUUUCAAGUGUAUGAGACAAAGCAACAAUCUACCUUCUCAAAAUUGUGGAUGUCCCAUCACUGUAAGUGCUCAAAGCCAGGUUAGACGGGGCUUUGAGCAGACUAAUUUAGUGGAAGGUGAUCUCUAGGGUCCCUUUUAACCCAACAAUUCUAUGAUUCUCUUGGUGUGUAAUCCAACUUUUGGUCCAUCAGAUGAAUUUCCUCUCCUGUUGCCUUCGGGCAUGUUUUAAAGAACCAAGAAAGGUCAAAUAAUCAGCUCCAAAGUACACUAAAUAAAUAAUUUUAGCAAGUUUUGCCAUAAAUAUCAACAAAUAAAUAUGAGAAAUGUAAUGAAAAAAUGAAAAACAAGCGCUGUGUGAAGGAAGCCAUUUUUAAUCCAUUUUUUAAUAAAAGUAAUUAAGACAACUCUCUUACUUCUGAUGCUUUUAUGUGCUUUACUGAAUUUUCUUCUCCUACCAGGCUAAAUGAUGAGGAAGUCAGGUCUGAGUGUAAUUGCAGUGACAAUGUUUAGUUGAUGAUAUCCUAAAGUUUAGUAGUUAGCACCCUGUCCUCCAAAUGAGAAAUAUUUUUGCCUCUUUGAGAUGGAGCAGCAAACUGCCAGCAAGAAUAAUAACACCAGAGGCAGGCACAGCGGAUUUGGGAGAAGUUUUUAUGUUACUUCUUCUCAUGGCUCAUUCUGUGUGAAGUUUCACAUUGUGGGUACACUCGGUGGUCACCUAUAUUAGUCCUGCUGUGCACUUGGUCCUGCCUCUUGGCUGGAAAAGUCAAUUGCUUCCACAGCCUUUCACCUCCUAACAUUUUCUUUGAUUCUUCUGUGCCUGUCGUCGUUUUUAUGACCUAACGGAAAGUCUUCAGUUGGAAAACAUAAUUUAUAUUCUGAACUUACUAACAGGUCUGAAAAAGUCUGUUAGAAAUAAUACCUCCUCACUGGUAUUUGUAUAUAUGUGUCUUAUUUACUGUGAAGUUUAGGAGCUGUUCUUUUAGCUGUGCAUUUGUGCUGUACCUGGAAGUAUGGAGUCUCUUGAUCUUGUGCAUAAUACAAAAGACUAAUCUUAAAUAUUGAUAAAACAUUAUUUACUUCUUAAAAAAAAACAACUUCAUUGAGAUAUGAAUGUUAUUGUCAGUCUGAAAACUAAGCAGCAACCAUGGCUUACAUGUUCCUUUGACCAAAACACUAAGCAGUGAUUUAAAAAAAAGUAAAUCUGGUAAACAGUAAAUCUGGUAUGCAGCCAACUGAAGUAGAAAAGGGAAGAAGCAAAAGACUAGUAAAGACUAGUUCUGAGUAAAAGUCACGGAUCAGUUCCAAGUGUUAGUGGGCUAACAAUUAUUUUAAGAAACAUCUCUUACUUUAAGAGAGCUGAAAGAGACCAUCCCAUCAAUCAAGUAAAACCAGAAAAAGUAAAUAAUUAAAAAAAGCGCAGCAUAUUAAGUGCACUGCUUCUUCUUUCAGUUGCAUAUUUAAAACAAGCAUAUUUACGGCGGAAAAACUCCUUUAUGUCCUGUACUUUUGACAAGGAUUAGAAUUAAUGUUUCUUCCCCUUAUACAUAAUUUUUAAUCAAGUUCAUGGAAAUACUUUUUAUGGAUAGAGCUCAUAAAUCUGAUAAGGUUCAUAAAUUCAACUGGAGCAUAAGAGGUAUUAGAAACAAAACAAAACAAAAUUAAAAAGAAAUUAACUGAUUUGCAAAUGCAUAUAUUGUAUUAAGUGUGUUUGUGCAAAUCCAAAGACCUAUUGUACAUUCUUAAAAGAACAGUGCUGAACUAUUUCUUAAAACAGCAUAUUUGCAGAAGUAAGGCUCGUUAGUUUAUAAGGAAGACUUGCCAACCUAUAGUGAAGGAUAUUUGACAUGUCUGACUAUUGACUGGAGUUCAAACAACAAGAAACUGCUCAUAGCACUCUUCCAGUGAGAUUAUUCCCUUUGAAGGUCACAAAGGCAAGUCCACCAUUGCCAAGUCAUGAUGCAUCUGACACAACAUUUCUUUUUAGAAAAUCUCAACUAAGUGAUGGUAAAAGAAUCUAUGCAAGGGAAGGAAAGCAUGAAAGAAAGGGAGAAACUUUUGGGGUACCUUUGUUUUGAGCUCCAACAACGUUAAAGAACUCAAAGACCAGAAUAAUAUAAUCAUGAAGAUCCCAGGACAGAAUUAUUUGAGAAAAUGUGUCAUAUUGGAAACUGCUGGUUAAUUGUUUGGGGAUUUUUCUUCCCAUCCUUAUCAUUUCCUAUCUUUCAUGUUCAUGGACUAAACCAAAUGGACCCCAGAUGAAAAAAUUGGAUGGUAUAUUUGCAUGCAAAACAGAAUUUAAACUUUGUGUACGUUUGUGUUUAAAGUAAUGACAUCCCACAAUUCACAACAAAAUUCAAAAGUCUAUGUUCAAAAGUGCAGAGGAGGCACAACCUUCAAAGACUUCACUAAUUCACAAUUGGGGAACAUCCAAGCAAAGAAAAAAGGAUCAUUUCAAUAUUUCCCUUUUAGUGACACAUUAAAAGGUCCUGUGUUUUAAGGCUGAGCUGCAUAAAGCAGAAUUCAUUGAUAAGCAUGAAGAAAUUAAUUAUUUUAAAAUUCUGGAACCUGCAUUUUAAAAAUAAAAUAUUUUUUUGAAAGCCAAAGAAAAUGUAUUAAUUAAUUUGUACUGGCAUUAGUUUAACAUAGAUAUUUUAGAAGACCUCAGUCAGGAUUUCUUUUUCCACAGCUGUCUUGCUACAAGCAAAACAAUACAAUCUCCCCAAACCUUCCCUAGAGUGGAAAUUCAGCCUAUACACAGUAUUUUAGUUACAUGAUCCCACUCCUGUGCUGAGCAUAGUCAAACACACAACAAAGUCAACAGCUCAUGUCAUUCUUAAAGUCAUUUUGAUAUCAGAAGGAAUGAAAGCACAACUCUUUUUGUGAAUUUUCAUUCUCUGCCCCUUAUGAUGGAAAUGGGUCAGCUAUAUGAAAGGAAAUGUGUACAUGGUUAGACUUCUCACUGAUAAAAUCGUGACCAGCCUUUCUGAGACAAAAGUAACUUAAAAUCUGCACAGUUCUAGGUUGAAAAGCUAGGGGCCAGAUGGUCUGUCUGCCUUUCCUUUACAUGAUGUAAGGGAAGGCUAUAAACUUGGUUCAGCUGGCAGUCUACUCCAGUAUUGCUACAAAGCUAAGAAAAGCAGUGAGACCACAUGAAGAAGUGCAAAUAGCAUUUUUUAAUGAAUUUUUGCUCUCAAUAUUCAAAGUAAUAUUUUGGGGGGUUCUUGUUUAAUGUUUAUAUAUAGGGACUAAUGCUAUGAAGAAUAUUCUCCUCCAGAUUCGAAGACUCUAACUCAGAGUAAAGUUUGAACGUAAAGAAUAAAGAAGAAAAAAAAUUUUUUUAAGUUAUUCCUUAAUUAAAUGAAAAGAGCUCUGGGAGUUCAAUAUUGACUUAAAGGAAAUAUCAAUUCAAAUUUUAUGAAAAUAAAAACUUGAACUGCCCUUGACUCUGCUCAUUAAUGGAAAAAAAAAAUCAAAAUUACCAUGAGUCUACCUGCAUUUGUGAAUUAUGCAUUAGUUUAAAACAGAUUUUGUUUUAAUACAUCAUGGUAUUGCUAAGUACGUGAAGAUGUAAUAGUUUUCCCGACUGUGAUGACAGGUUUUCUGUCCUUUUUUUCUGUCUAUUUUUGGAAAUGCUCUAUCGACCUCAAAACGCUUUAACAUACAAUGGGAAUAAUUGAUUGUUCUGCGAAAGGAAACUACCUGGUUUUAAAAGGAUACAAAGGGGUCUCAUUGUUCAGGAAGGAUUUUUAAAGAAGACAAUAAGACUUUCUGGUUUGAGAGUGUGGGUAGGCUUGAUCUGGAAAUGUGUUUGUUGGUCUACAAAGGAAGGAUGCAGGUAGUCGUGUACACACACGGAGGUGAACGUAGGUAUGAAUGAACGAGAGAAAAGCACAAAGCAGGUGAGCAGGUGCUCUCUAGUGUUAAAAGUGGUGAUCAAACAGAUGAUGGUAAGAAACAUGGGAAAGGCAGACUGACUUCAAAAUUGCUGAAAACAACUUUAGCUCUUUCACAAGUAUGAGGAAGAACCAGUAGAAGAACUCCCUUUGUACACAACUACUCUGGGUGAAACACGCCUAGGAGCCUGCCUACCAGAGUGCCCAAACCUACUUGUUGACUAUCCCUGUGCCAAAUUAUCCAUUUCAACUUAAAAUAAAGCGACUGUCCAUUUAAACCA
Taeniopygia guttata (zebra finch) is the source of this 6213-nucleotide non-coding RNA. The record is from RefSeq and is a predicted model, not a curated record. NCBI's taxonomy places the organism in Eukaryota, Metazoa, Chordata, Aves, Passeriformes, Estrildidae.